Molecule: ribosomal RNA, 508 nt
Filed under: uncultured bacterium
Lineage: Bacteria
Description: partial 16S ribosomal RNA
Rfam family: Bacterial small subunit ribosomal RNA
Source: RNAcentral
GACGAACGCUGGCGGCGUGCCUAAUACAUGCAAGUCGAACGCUUCUUUCCUCCCGAGUGCUUGCACUCCAUUGGAAAGAGGAGUGGCGGACGGGUGAGUAACACGUGGGUAACCUACCCAUCAGCGGGGGAUAACACCUGGAAACAGGUGCUAAUACCGCAUAACAGUUUAUGCCGCAUGGCAUAAGAGUGAAAGGCGCUUUCGGGUGUCGCUUAUGGAUGGACCCGCGGUGCAUUAGCUAGUUGGUGAGGUAACGGCUCACCAAGGCCACGAUGCAUAGCCGACCUGAGAGGGUGAUCGGCCACACUGGGACUGAGACACGGCCCAGACUCCUACGGGAGGCAGCAGUAGGGAAUCUUCGGCAAUGGACGAAAGUCUGACCGAGCAACGCCGCGUGAGUGAAGAAGGUUUUCGGAUCGUAAAACUCUGUUGUUAGAGAAGAACAAGGACGUUAGUAACUGAACGUCCCCUGACGGUAUCUAACCAGAAAGCCACGGCUAACUACGUG